RNAcentral lists this ribosomal RNA (424 nucleotides) under uncultured bacterium. RNAcentral's name for it is "bacterial SSU rRNA". It matches the Rfam family "Bacterial small subunit ribosomal RNA", at positions 359 to 775 of the family's 1533-position model. The record is from RNAcentral.
GAAUUUUGGAUAAUGGGGGCAACCCUGAUCCAGCCAUCCCGCGUGUGCGAUGAAGGCCUUCGGGUUGUAAAGCACUUUUGGCAGGGAAGAAAAGGCGCCGGCUAAUACCUGGUGCUGCUGACGGUACCUGCAGAAUAAGCACCGGCUAACUACGUGCCAGCAGCCGCGGUAAUACGUAGGGUGCAAGCGUUAAUCGGAAUUACUGGGCGUAAAGCGUGCGCAGGCGGUUCGGAAAGAAAGAUGUAAAAUCCCAGGGCUUAACCUUGGAACUGCAUUUUUAACUACCGGGCUAGAGUAUGUCAGAGGGGGGUAGAAUUCCACGUGUAGCAGUGAAAUGCGUAGAGAUGUGGAGGAAUACCGAUGGCGAAGGCAGCCCCCUGGGAUAAUACUGACGCUCAGGCACGAAAGCGUGGGGAGCAAACAG